This 2274-nucleotide long non-coding RNA is filed under the name Mus musculus (house mouse). RNAcentral's name for it is "RIKEN cDNA 5930403N24 gene (5930403N24Rik)". Lineage: Eukaryota; Metazoa; Chordata; Mammalia; Rodentia; Muridae. The record is from RNAcentral.
AGCAAGAUCUCCAGUUGGAAUUAGGUCUGUAGGCCAGAUGUGGGAAACGCAAAAACAGCAAACAGCCUAAGCCAUGCUCGUUCCUUUCUCUCCUAGAGGCGUGAAAUAAAAUAUUUUGAAAUUGGUCCUUGGAGCACCUCAAAUCGCGUCUCUCCAACUAUUCCAAUUACCGAUCACUUUUCCACAAAACAUUGUGAGGACCAUUUUCAGAAGAUCGAAACUUGCUAGCAUGUUAUCACUGUAAGAAACGACAUCAUUAAUUUUCCUCUGUGGUAAAACUAGACCGAGCCUUGAGUGUACGAAUCCAUAUUUACAGUUGGGAGGCAGCUACUCUCGUCGACACGGGUUGUUUUCCUAGCCUGCUGCCAACAUCGGAGGGACUCUCAUUUUGAACUUGUCUGUGCACAGCAUCAAGUGUGCUCCUGGAAGAGAGGCAACAGCGAGGAAAUCCUAAAAGACCGAGUCCUAGUCUCAGAAGAAAUCGCCUGCAAGGUUGAGAGACAGAAAGAAAAUCCCUGGAGACUCCACGUCUAACCCAGGCUAAAGGCAAAGCUCUACAGCGUUCCAGGGGAUCUGACAUCCUCCUCUGCUCUCCACAUGCACCGGGCAUGUGCAAGAACACUCAUACACAUAAAAUAAAAAUGAUGGGUGUCUAUGCAUAAAGAAGACAGCAACAUGAAGCUGAGAUUGAUUCCCAUUGGUACUGAAUCAGAACUCAUAGAAACAAGUAAAUCUCCUUGGAAAUUAUCACCUAUCAGGUCACCAUCACACCAAGGCACUCGAAGAGACAUUGACGGCGAAAAGGAAUUGAACUCAAUGGGAAAGCACGGCACCAUGAAGGAGCCACCAUGCAAGGGCAGCAAGUGAAUCCAGGGGAGGUCUGUCUCCAAGAAGACGAGCAAGGAAGGCCGAAAUGCUCAUUUGUAAAGGAAGUAUUUGAAAUGUCACCCUCCCCCUUUUUUUCUAAACUGUUUUCUUGGGAAGCCUUCUUAUAGAAACUUAAGAAAAGAUGACUGGGAAUUUAUAUUGUUGAUAUGGGCACACCACGUCAAGGACCCCAAUGCCUCAGACCUCUGCAAAUGAUAAAGCUUCCAUGGGUCAGGUUUGGAGAAAUGGCAAAGCCUUCCACUCUCCCGAGUACCAGUAUUGACAACUGAUUGCUCUUUAGUUAAUGCCAGUGUAGAGUUAGCACCCACCAGAACCAUGGCUUCCUCCUGCUGCAUAUUUACAACUUAAGACUGUUCCCCUAUGAAGACUUCCCACUCAGACAAGCUAACCCCUCAGUGGUGGUUUGAAUGAGAAUGACCCCUGUACAAUCAUACAGUUGAAUGCCCCCCCCCCCCACCCAGUUGGCGAAUCUGUUUGGGAAGGAUUAGGAGGUGUAGACUUGGAGGAGGUGUGUUACUGGAGGUGGUCUUUGAGGUUUAAGAAGCCCCCACCAUUUCCAAGUAGAAUCUCUCUCUGCCUAGUGCUUGUGAAUCAGAUAUAAACUCUCAACUGCUUCUACAGUGCCUACCUGCCUGUUUUCAUGUUUCCUGCCCUGAUAGUCAUGGACUCACCCUCUGAAACUGUAAGCAAAUUCUCAAUAAAAUACCUUCUUCUAUAAGUUGCCUUGGUCAUGGUGUCUCCUCACAGCAAUAGAGCAGUAACUAAGACACUCUUUUUCUUGUGCUAUAUAAAAUAAACACUUGUUGUUUGGGGGUUGUAUAGUAAGUGGCUUCCAUCAAAGUGAGCACACCCCAGGUGAUUCCAGCUUUUCUCUAUGAGACUCUGUCAUUUCUCGUGACAUUUUCUUAUGAUAUCUCAUAUUGCCCCAGCUAGCUUUCUGGGAUGAAGCCAUGCAGCUUAUGGGCUGCUCUUGAGAGCACAGUUGUAGGAGAACCUGAUGAAUUCAUGGAGUGUUAUCUUUUUCAUCCAGCAAGUCUACUGUUCUCAUGAGAAAGGCGUUCUUCCUUGAACACCUCAUCAGGGUCUUAGUCAGGGGAGUCAGCAGUGUGGUAUUAAUUGUAAACAACAGUUAGAGAAAUUUGCAUUUUUGAAAGUCCCAUCCUUCUCACAGAAAAUCCAGAUGGGAUGAUGUGUUCUCUUCAGACCCCUCCCCCCUCGGGUUUUUUUUUUUUCCUGAGUGUUAAUUAAAAAUCUUGUUAACAACAAUGUGUGAAUAAUGUGUUUACCGCUGAAUUUCUUUGGGCAGUGGUUUGCUAUGUAUAUGCAAAUUUUAUUUUUGCACGUUUGCUUUUCCUCCAAUUUCGAAUAAAAUUGUUGAAAAGAUAA